GAUUCUCCUGCCUCGGCCUCCCGAGUAGCCGGGACUACAGGACCAGCUUGAAGUGUUUCAGGACACUUCUCUCUGUGUGUGCCUCUUGAUUUUGUUCAGAAGCCCAGUACUAUGGAAUACUCUAUCGCAGUGAUAAUUAACUACUCGAUAUGCAAAACACAGACAAAUCUCACAAACAUAAUGUGGAGCAAAAGAAGCCAGAAACAGAAGAGUACUGUGAAAUCCCAUUUAUGUCAAGCUCAAAACCAGGCAAGACCAAUCUGUGAUGUUAGAAGUCAGGAUAGUGGUCCCUUUGUUGGUGGUUGUGGCUGGGAGGGGCUAGAGGGCUCCAGGAGUGCUGGUAAUGCACUAAUUCUUUGUCUGGGUGCUGUUUACACAAUGUGGACAUACUGGGCUGUCCAUUUAUGAUCUGUGCACAUUUCUGUACGUAUGCUGUAUUUCAAUCAAAAGUCUCAAAAAAAAAAAAAAAAAAGAGAGAGAAAGAGAGAAACCAGAAUGUAAUCUUGUGAAAUAAGUAGUCACAGGAAGUAUGAACUAUGUGCCAACCAAAAUAAGCCUCUGAGGAUUGGUGAGGCUGGAGAACAGUAUCAUAGGGCUAAGAGUCAGAGAACCUGAUUUCCAGUCCCACUUCUGUUAUUCACUGGCAAAAGGAUGCUGGAAACUUAGCUCCCCUCAACUCAUAACAGCCAGUGAUUAAAUGAAGGCCUUCAGGAAAAUCUAAAGAUGUUCCCCAUUCCAUGCCUUGCCAGGAAAGGUUAAGGAUCCCAGCUGAAGACCAAACACGAAGAAACUUGGAUGACUAGUAACAAUCUCAUGUUUGUAUAAUGCUUCCCACUCCCAAAGCACUUUCAUAAUCAUUAUGCCAUUUGAUUUUUCAUAAUAAGAUCAGGAACGCAGGCUCUAGGGCCAGACUGGCUGGGUUGGAAUCCUAGCUCCAUCUGUUGCUAGCUGCUUGACCUUGGGCACAUCGUCCCUCUGCCUCAGUUUCCUUAUCUGCAAAACAGGGACAUGAGGGGAUUCAAUGAAUUUAACAUGAAAAACAUUUACAAUGAUGCCUACCACAAAGUUAUCAUUUGAUAAAUGUUAGUUAAAACAGGAACAAAAGUCCAGAUAGUGUUAUCUAGAUUUUAUAGCUGAAGAAACUGAGGCUCACAGGUUAUCACAAGACUAAUUCACAGCAGAUCCAGAACUGAAACCCAGGCCUUCUGGGUUACAACACUGACUUGUUAGGUUAUCUGGAAUAAUCUAAAUGGACUUGUCUAUUUUUAUGUGAUAAUAAUAAUAACAAUAAUAACAAUAACACUACCUUUUACUGAGUACUCACUAAGUGUUUUACAUACUAUGUCUCAUUUAAUCCUCAUAAGAAUCUAUGAGGCACGUGUUGUUAUCCCCAUUUUAAAAAGGGACAAACUGAGGACUAAACAUUGAGAAAGCAAACCUGGAUCACCCAGCUAGUGACAGGGAAGGCCAGAUUCUGAAUGCAGGUCUCUGCAAACCCAGGACCUGCGUUUUCAACCACUUACAUUCCAUAACCUCUGGAUAGAAAAAGACCACCAUGGUUACUGCUUUAUAAACAUUUGGGGGUUUCUGGGACAAAUUGGGUGAUUUUUGUAAGUUCCCCAAGGUCAGAAAGAGCCCUUCUUAUCCAUCUUUCAUCCUUCUCCUGUGCAUCAGGUACUGGACCUCCAUAGGUGUCCCAGAGGCUCCCAUGGAAGGAUUUGCAAAUCAGGUUCCAAGAGCUUAAAAAGCCAGGCUUAGUAGUGGAGAGGCACCAGAUGAACUCUUGAUAGCCCAGGCAAGAACUGGGCACCAGCAGCAUUACUUGAUGGUGUCAAAGAGGUAGAGGACCAAAUGCCAGGAUGCAGAGGGAGCCAUGGUGCCUGGACACAGAGACUUUGCCACAGCUAUCAAGUUUGCAAAAUGAAAACAAAGGGAGAGAUUAAUGAGACUCCACCUAGAAGCAGCCACUCCUGGACAGGCUGCCCUUCCUAGAUGGCUUCAGAUGGCUGCCAGGGAACAUCUGCCUGGUUAAGAUUUCAAGUGAAGACCUAAUCGAAGCAGCCCUUUGGCAGGCUUUGCACUGGCCGGCCUGACUCUGACAUACGCUCCGAUGCCCACACAUGGUUGUGGCUGGCAGCUCAGACAGACACGACUGUUUUGGCUUCUGUCAUUUCUUUUUCUUCCUCCAGGCGCUCAAGUUCUUGAUCCCAGCUCGCCUGAUUAGGGGUCGUCAUCAGUCCGCGCACCCUGCCUGUACUUCCUGGGGCCCCCUGGUGGAUGAUCAAAGGAUAAAGGGAUAGUUGGAGGCAGGAAAGAGAGAGUUGGGGAUGAUAGUGCAGUGGACUGUGUGGAUCUUUCCCCAUAGGCUUCUAAGAAGUCUUUUGUGAAUAUCUCUCUCGUCCCCCACUGGGUGAAUGAUUUACUAUGACUAAAGGGGCCACACACACAACAGCUCUCACCCUGGAAUGGACUUUGAGAGGGAAGCAAAAGGAAGCAUUGCCUUCUUUCCUGGACUUCCCUUUGGAGCACCCCACAACUCUCAGGGGAUUUAGAAGGUAACACAUUUAGAGCUUUCCCAAAAGAAUGUGCAGCUGUGGCUUGAGCAAAAGGUGUUUACUCCCACGGAGGUGGGAUUUUUAUUGCUAGUUUCAACAUCAAGUAGGUGUGAAAGUUAUAUACAAAUCCUGACAAUCAAUACCACCUGAGAAAGGCGAGAAAGAGGGCUGCAUGGGCCAAUGCUUCACAAACUUAAGGUGCACAGCUUGGAAGCAUUGAAUUGUGGGGGGUGGGGAUCUUGUAAAGUGAAGAUUCUGAAUGAGUAGGUGUGGGGUAUGGCCCACAGUCUGUGUUUCCAACAUGCUUCUGCCACAGGAAGACUGCUCUGGACUAAGAAAUAGUCCUGUGCAUUUCUUAGCACCAACGCUCACCUCCCCCCACCAAAAACAUGAAAUAAAACAAAACAGGGACAUUGCAUUUCCUGGAAGUGUCUUACAUGACACCAAUUAAAACUAUCUUUUUUUCUUGCUCAUAAAUAUAUUCUUUUUCCUUUUUUUUGAGACGGAGUCUCUCUUUUUUGCCCAGGCUGGAGUGCAGUGGUGUGAUCUCAGCUCACUGCAACCUCCGCCUUCCAGGUUCAAGCAAUUCUCCUGCCUCAGCCUCCUGAGUAGCUGGGAUUACAGGAGUGUGCCACCACACUCGGCUAAUUUUUUGUAUUUUUAGUAGAGAUGGGGUUUCACUAUGUUGGCCAGACUGGUCUUGAACUCUUGACCUCAAGUGAUCCACCUGCCUCGGCCUCCCAAAGUGCUAAGAUUAUAGGCGUGAGCCACUGUGUCUAGCCUAGAAAUGUAUUCUUUUUUUUUUUUUUGAGAUGGAGUUUCGCUCUGUCGCCCUGGCUGGAGUGCAGUGGUGCCAUCUCGGCUCACUGCAACCUCUGCCUCCUGGGUUCAAGUGAUUCUCCUGCCUCAGCCUCCCGAGUAGCUGGGACUACAGGCGUGCACCACUACACCCAGCUAAUUUUUGUAUUUUUAGUAGAGAUGGGGUUUCUCCCAGCUAAUUUUUGUAUUUUUAGUAAAGAUGGAGUUUCACCAUGUUGGUUGGCCAGGAUGGUCUCGAUCUCUUGACCUCGUGAUCCACCCGCCUCAGCCUCCCAAAGUGCUGGGAUUACAGACAUGAGCCACCGCGCCCAGCCAAAACUUAUUCUAAAAGGUUUGACUGAUGUACAUAAAAAUCACUGGAAAACAUAGUUAUAGGUAAAUUUUAUUAUUUCUUUGUGUUUUUCUACAUUUCCCAAACUUUCUACAAAUGAACCUAUAUUGUUUUUAUUUUUCUCGAAGGCUAAGUUUGAAACAUCUUGUGUUGUUUCAAGACCUUUCUUUUCCCCCGGUGCUAGCUAGACCAGAAUGGAUUGUUUAACAUCUCAGGGCAGAUGUCUGAACCUUUGCAGGUGUUGGGAGACUCAGAAUCUUCUGGUGUUGAGGAGACCAAGCUUGGUCAGGUCGGGACCAUGUUGAAUCACUGUUUAACACUGAAGGAAGGCCAGGGAAGGCCUGUGAGGGACACGCAGUCUCUGCCUCCUGAGGUCAUGCUGAUCGCUUGCUGGCCCAAGUCUAAUUUAUUUUAGUUUCUAUGUCUGUGAACAAGGCCAAUGUGCAUGAAUGAUGGUCUGGCAUCUCGAUCCAUGUUUACAAAUCAAUGAGCAGACCACCUAAAUCAGUGAACUGUGCAUUUUAUAGAUGAGAAAAGGCAAGUUGGGGGAAAGAGACUGGAGAGGGUGGUGGUAAUUAUAGAAAUGAGACUUUCAUAACUCAAGUUUCCAUCCCAUGGCGUUUUCUUUAAAUAAGGGAUUCCCAAUCUUCAGAAGCACUAGUGCAGUAUAACUUUGGAUAAACACAGUUCUGUCUUAUCAGCACAUUGUUUUGUAUUCAAUAGGUACUCAAUGUUUAAUAUGUUAUAAAAUAUAAUUUUUGAAUACAUUUUUUUUCUGUGAUGGUCGGAGCACACAGCACAGAGCAAUUUUAGGAAAUUGCCAUGCUUUCCAAUAGUAGCUAUAAGCUUUGUGUAUCCAGUCACCCAGGACCUAUUUGUUAGAUAGGAUAAAAGAACAUUGAAGUGACAAGAUUUGACAGAAAAUCUAGGCAAUACCAUUCAGGACAUAGGCAUGGGCAAAGACUUCAUGACUAAAACACCAAAAGCAAUUGCAACAAAAGCAAAAAUUGACAAAUGGGAUCUAAUUAAACUAAAGAGCUUCUGCUCAGCAAAAGAAACUAUCAGAGUAAACAGGGAACCUACAAAAUAGGAGAAAAUAUUUGCAAUCUGACCAAGGUCUAGUACCCAGAAUCUACAAGGAACUUAAACAAAUUUACAGGAAAAAAACAAGCAAGCCCAUCAAAAAGUGGGCGAAGGAUAUGAACAGAUACUUUUCAAAGGAAGAAAUUUAUGCAGCCAACAAAUAUAUAAAGAAAAACUCAUCAUCACUGGUCAUUAGAGAAAUGCAAAUCAAAACAACAAUGAGAUAUCAUCUCGUGCCAGAUAGAAUGGCGAUCAUUAAAAAGUCUGGAAACAAUAGAUGCUGGUGAGGCUGUGGAGAAAUAGGAACACUUUUACACUGUUGGUGGGAGUGUAAAUUAGUUCACCCAUUGUGGAAGACAGCGUGGCAAUUCCUCAAGGAUCUAGGACCAGAAAUACCAUUUGACCCAGCAAUCUCAUUACUGGGUAUAUACCCAAAGGAUUAAAAAUCAUUCUACUAUAAAGACACAUGCACACGUAAUGUUUAUUGCAGCACUAUUUACAAUAGCAAAGACUUGGAACCAACCCAAAUGCCCAUCAAUGAUAGACUGGAUAAAGAAAAUGUGGCACAUACAUACCAUGGAAUACUAUGCAGCCGUAAGAAAGAAUGAGUUCAUGUCCUUUGCAGGGACAUGGAUGAAGCUGGAAACCGUCAUCCUCAGCAAACUAACACAGGAACGGAAAACCAAACACCACGUGUUCUCACUCAUAAGUGAGAGUUGAACAAUGAGAACACAUGGACACAGGGAGGGGAACAUCACACACCGGGGUCUGUUGGGGAGCGGUGGACAAGGGGAGAGAGAGCAUUAGGACAAAUACCUAAUGCAUGCUGGGCUUAAAACCUGGAUUAUGGGUUGAUAGGUGCAGCAAACCACCACGGCACAUGUAUACCUAGGUGACAAAGCUGCACGUUCAGCACAUGUAUCCCAGAACUUAAAGUAAAAUUAAAAAAAAAAAAAAAAGAACAUUGAAGUGACAAGAUUUGGGAGGACUGAAACAAAACAGACUACAAGGAACAGGAGAAAAGGGACAAUUGUAAGAGUGGUAAUAUUCUUUUAUAUUUAUGCACGUAAGAUGGCUGUACUGGUUUCAAGCAUCUGACUUUUAAUAUUUGAAGAAAUAAAAUUCUUGCUUAGGUCCUUCCACCCGCUGUUCAAGAUUGAAGAUUGACCUUCUGUUACCAUCUUAGCUGAUCUGUCUGCUGCUGCCUUUUUGCUUGUCCUACUCAGUUUUAAGUAAUUUUCAUCCUUCAUGCUCUGGGCUGCAAAAAUAAAUAUAAGCAACA
This is a long non-coding RNA of Homo sapiens (human), 6070 nucleotides long. RefSeq lists it as uncharacterized. NCBI's taxonomy places the organism in Eukaryota, Metazoa, Chordata, Mammalia, Primates, Hominidae. The transcript has 2 exons. The record is from RefSeq and is a predicted model, not a curated record.